UUCGGAGGCAAGUUUGGUGUCCAGAUGGACAGAGUUGAUCAGUCUGCUGUAGGCUUUGAAUACCAGGGGAAGACUGAGAAGCAUGCCUCCCAGAAAGGUAAGACGCGAAAGGUGCAGAAAGAGCCCACUCCGGGGGCCCCGAUGGGGAGAGUCACAGCCACCUGAAGCCGUUUCCCCGCGCUCCGGGGGCCCUGAUGGGGAGAGUCACAGCCACCUGAAGCCGUUUCCCCGCGCUCCGGGGGUCCUGAUGGGGAGAGUCACAGCCACCUGAAGCCAUUUCCUGAGCGGUGGCUGUUGCCACAAGGAGGACUCUGCCCUCCUCUUCAUGUUUCUGGAUCAUCUGGAUACCACAUGAUGGAUGUAUUCCCCGUUACACAUCCCCCUCGGAGCCCUGGCAUCUGCUGUCAUUGUGGGGCUUCUCCCCGUUGUAGCGGAAGCCGCCUUCCCUUCAUCUGGGCAGCGCUCCUCCUGGAAAAGAGAGCUCACAGAUUGAUCGGCAGAAAGCUAACUUCCCCCUCUAAGGCUAGAAACCAGAGCUGUUAAAUUCUUGUUUUCCUUAUACACAUACGGUCUUAACUGCUGGUGAUUAAUCUUGAUUACAUCAUGCAGUCUCUUUUUUGAAAGACCAAAGCAUAUCGC
This 639-nucleotide small RNA is filed under the name Pan troglodytes (chimpanzee). Its description in RNAcentral is "retained intron". Lineage: Eukaryota; Metazoa; Chordata; Mammalia; Primates; Hominidae. The record is from RNAcentral.